UCCCUAUUGGCUCAGACGGUAAAGAAUCUGCCUGCAAUGCGAGAGACCUGGGUUCAAUCCCCAGGUUGGGAA
This 72-nucleotide transfer RNA is filed under the name Bos taurus (domestic cattle). It matches the Rfam family "tRNA". Rfam says of the family: Transfer RNA (tRNA) molecules are approximately 80 nucleotides in length. The record is from Rfam by way of RNAcentral. Lineage: Eukaryota; Metazoa; Chordata; Mammalia; Artiodactyla; Bovidae. RNAcentral also lists the same sequence under 2 other names.